AGUUCCUAGAGUUGGACCGGUAUUCCCCUGAGAGCAUGAUGGAUGAAGGCAGAAAGGCAAGAAAGUUCGAGUGGAGCCUCCGUCCUGAGAUUAUACAGCAGCUGUAUGUGUUUGAACUCAGUACUUACUCGGCUGUUCUAGUCAAGACACAGCUAGUGGAGAGGAACCUUCGCAUUUUUCCUCCAGCAGUAGGGAACUCAAGCCCUCGUUUUCAUACCGUAAACUAGCACCCAUUGCACCUAUUCAGCAGAACAAGAGACUUAAGCCAGUGACCCAGGCUCCUCCUCAGAUUCCGACAAUAGGACGCGGUAGGACUUAUCAGCACUGCACAAAGAUCAUGGGGACCGACCCUACUAUCACCUUAACAAUACUUUCCGUAUAUGUGGGAGUGCCCAGUAUUACGCGAGAGAGUGUCCGAGGAAUUAGAACCAGACCAGACCUCCUAUGCAGGGUAGAGCU
This 459-nucleotide long non-coding RNA is filed under the name Carica papaya (papaya). Its description in RNAcentral is "long non-coding RNA (CPAP_LNC003018)". The record is from RNAcentral. Lineage: Eukaryota; Viridiplantae; Streptophyta; Magnoliopsida; Brassicales; Caricaceae.